Molecule: ribosomal RNA, 506 nt
Filed under: uncultured bacterium
Lineage: Bacteria
Description: partial 16S ribosomal RNA
Rfam family: Bacterial small subunit ribosomal RNA
Source: RNAcentral
AGUGAACGCUGGCGGUAGGCCUAACACAUGCAAGUCGAACGGCAGCACAGGAGAGCUUGCUCUCUGGGUGGCGAGUGGCGGACGGGUGAGGAAUACAUCGGAAUCUACUCUGUCGUGGGGGAUAACGUAGGGAAACUUACGCUAAUACCGCAUACGACCUAGGGGUGAAAGCAGGGGACCUUCGGGCCUUGCGCGAUUGAAUGAGCCGCUGUCGGAUUAGAUAGUUGGCGGGGUAAAGGCCCACCAAGGCGACGAUCCGUAGCUGGUCUGAGGGGAUGAUCAGCCACACUGGAACUGAGACACGGUCCAGACUCCUACGGGAGGCAGCAAUGGGGAAUAUUGGACAAUGGGCGCAAGCCUGAUCCAGCCAUACCGCGUGGGUGAAGAAGGCCUUCGGGUUGUAAAGCCCUUUUGUUGGGAAAGAAAUCCAGCUGGCUAAUACCCGGUUGGGAUGACGGUACCCAAAGAAUAAGCACCGGCUAACUUCGUGCCAGCAGCCGCGGUAA